UUGCAUGGCUGUACCAGUCAUACUCUUUGGUUUUAGGAGUAUGGAUCUACAGUCUUGCUAGAGCAAUACAUGAGUUAACAGGGCCACCAGUCUCUAAAGUACAGGCUGUAGUGGUAGUAUAAAACUCACACAAUC
Small nucleolar RNA from Trichomycterus rosablanca, 135 nucleotides. RefSeq annotates it as small nucleolar RNA U109. The transcript has a single exon. The record is from RefSeq and is a predicted model, not a curated record. NCBI's taxonomy places the organism in Eukaryota, Metazoa, Chordata, Actinopteri, Siluriformes, Trichomycteridae.